UUGAUUACGUCCCUGCCCUUUGUACACACCGCCCGUCGCUGCCCGGGACUGAGCCAUUUCGAGAAAUUUGGGGAUUGCCGAUUAGCGGUCUUUCGGGAUUGCUUUUUGGUGAGAACCAAUUUAAUCGCAGUGGCUUGAACCGGGCAAAAGUCGUAACAAGGUGGCUGUAGGUGAACCUGCUGCCGGAUCAUUACCGAUCAACCUGAAAACUAGGGGGAGGACCUGGCUGGACCUCCUCUGUAGAAUGACGACUUCUUCAUUCCUACAGCCAAUAGCUCAAGAGGGUGCCGUGAUAUUGGCAUGCUGCUUACAGGUGACGUCCCCACCGACUAGCAGGCUUAUUCUUGGGCGAAAAACGGCUUAGUUGGCUUCUAAGUUUCUCUGAGCAGUUGUAUGCCUACGUCCGUGGCUGCGUUGAAGAGAAACGGUACGUGGUCUUCGUGAUCGCGAGAAUUAAUGAGCGCCAGAUGUGGUGCCGCCAACAAAACAACCAUUUUUGAACUUUUUGAGAAAUAACAUUUCUAGUCUUACCGGUGGAUCACUCGGUUCAUAGAUCGAUGAAGAACGCAGCCAACUGCGAUAUAUGGUGUGAACUGCAGAUAUUUUGAACACCAAGAAUUCGAAUGCACAUUGCGCCACUGGAUAUUUAUCCUUUGGCACAUCUGGCUCAGGGUCGUAAACACUAAACGAAAGCUAUUCGUUGUUUAUGACAGACUCAUGGCUACACUAGUUAGGGGGAUAUUCCGCUAGAGUCAUGUUUCUGUGAAGUGGUUUUGCCUACCGGUUGCCUACGGCCGUCUCAUCAUCAUGUCUUGGCUAGUGUAGACGUAUCUGAUGGCUGUACCACAUCGAUUACAUGUAGGCAUGGAUCUUCCGACCUGAGCUCAGGUGUGAUCACCUGCUGAACUUAAGCAUAUCAGUAAGCAGAGGAAAAGAAACCAACAGGGAUUCCCUUAGUAACGGCGAGUGAAAA
RNAcentral lists this ribosomal RNA (973 nucleotides) under Anguina tritici. RNAcentral describes it as "eukaryotic LSU rRNA". The stretch from base 1 to 193 matches the Rfam family "Eukaryotic small subunit ribosomal RNA", at positions 1641 to 1831 of the family's 1831-position model. The record is from RNAcentral. Lineage: Eukaryota; Metazoa; Nematoda; Chromadorea; Rhabditida; Anguinidae.